CCUACGGGUGGCAGCAGUGGGGAAUAUUGCACAAUGGGGGAAACCCUGAUGCAGCGACGCCGCGUGAGUGAAGAAGUAUUUCGGUACGUAAAGCUCUAUCAGCAGGGAAGAAAAUGACGGUACCUGACUAAGAAGCCACGGCUAACUACGUGCCAGCAGCCGCGGUAAUACGUAGGGGGCAAGCGUUAUCCGGAUUUACUGGGUGUAAAGGGAGCGUAGACGGCAGCGCAAGUCUGGAGUGAAAUCCCAUGGCUUAACCAUGGAACUGCUUUGGAAACUGUGCAGCUAGAGUGCAGGAGAGGUGAGCGGAAUUCCUAGUGUAGCGGUGAAAUGCGUAGAUAUUAGGAGGAACACCAGUGGCGAAGGCGGCUUACUGGACUGUAACUGACGUUGAGGCUCGAAAGCGUGGGGAGCAAACAGGAUUAGAUACCCCGGUAGUC
This 440-nucleotide ribosomal RNA is filed under the name uncultured bacterium. Its description in RNAcentral is "partial 16S ribosomal RNA". It matches the Rfam family "Bacterial small subunit ribosomal RNA", at positions 338 to 795 of the family's 1533-position model. The record is from RNAcentral.